UACGUAGGGUGCGAGCGUUAAUCGGAAUUACUGGGCGUAAAGCGUGCGCAGGCGGCUUUGCAAGACAGAUGUGAAAUCCCCGGGCUUAACCUGGGAACUGCAUUUGUGACUGCAUGGCUGGAGUGCGGCAGAGGGGGAUGGAAUUCCGCGUGUAGCAGUGAAAUGCGUAGAUAUUCGGAGGAACACCGAUGGCGAAGGCAAUCCCCUGGGCCUGCACUGACGCUCAUGCACGAAAGCGUGGGGAGCAAACAGG
Molecule: ribosomal RNA, 253 nt
Filed under: uncultured bacterium
Lineage: Bacteria
Description: partial 16S ribosomal RNA
Rfam family: Bacterial small subunit ribosomal RNA
Source: RNAcentral